AUUGUGAGUGAAAUCUGCCACAAUAACACUCACCCUUUUGCACGCCAUAGCAAGUCUCAAGACGGACAGUGAAAAAAAAAAUGCAACCAAAAAGGAAAUGUAGAGUUUUAACAACAGACUCUAGGAUGCUGUGGCUGAUCCUGGCGUGUGUCGCUGGCCGCUCGGUAGCUCGAGCGCCACCAGACGAUCCAAACCCAGACACAGAGCCAAAUCUGGUAUACUACUCCCCAACAAACACCAGCACGAACAGCACUUACCAGCGAAAUGUGGUGGCCGUCCUGGAGUUCCUCUACAAGAACAAUCCCCCAGACGGCUAUGCAACGAGCCUUGGCUAUGGCGGCUUCCCAAACGCUGUCUACGCGCACAGUGGCUGCUACAACAUGUCCGACCAGCCGAGCUGUGGACAGUGCAUCCAGAACGCCUACACGAACAUCCAAAGUGUUAAUCUGUAUGCCGUUGGUGGUGCGAUUUGGAUCAACCAAACCUUUCAAAGGUGCCGCAUGAGAUACGAUCCUUCCAGCUUUGAGAUCGUUCCUGGUACUUUGGGCAUUGUGGGUCCAAACAUUUCAUCUCCAGCUCCAGCACCAGGUCCAGGUCUAGCUUUAGGUCCAGAUCCAGAUCCAGAUCCAGCUCCAGCUCCAGCUCCAGCUCCUCCAGAUCCAGCUCCAGCUCCUCCAGAUCCAGCUCCAGCUACUGGCAAGCAAAAUGCUGGGACGAGAAAUGGCGUGAUAGCUGGUGCUGUGGUGGGAGGAGCUGUGUUUUGUUUUGUUUGUGCUGUUCUUGGGUUCUUCUUGUUAACAAGGCGAAGAAGAGAAUCGGAGAAAUCGGAGAAAUGCGAAGACUUUGGGAUCAUCAAGGGUCUCCAUGUGGUCUUUUCUUACAAGGAUUUGUGUGCGGCGACCAGGGGGUUCUCUGUGGAAAGCAAGCUCGGUCAAGGUGGAUUUGGAACUGUUUACAAGGCCACCUUAAACAAUGGCUCGCAAGUAGCAGUGAAGAAGCUCUCGUUGCAGUCCAACCAAGGCAACAGAGAGUUCGUGAACGAGAUCACCAUUAUCACAGGAAUCCAACACCGAAAUCUUGUAAGGCUCAAAGGCUAUUGUGUCGAGGCAGAUGAAAGACUGCUCGUCUACGAGUUCCUCAACAAAGGCAGCCUUGACCGGGCGCUCUUCAGUUCUGGAUCAAAUGUGGUCCUUGACUGGCACUCACGCUUUCAAAUCGCCAUUGGGAUAGCUCGGGGUCUUGCUUACUUGCACGAGGAGUCUCAUGUUCAGAUUAUCCACAGAGACAUCAAAGCCAGCAACAUCCUCUUGGACGACAAGCUGCAGCCAAAGAUCUCCGACUUUGGGAUAUCAAAGCUCUUCGACUUGGACAAAGGCUUCGGCUUCACGAGCACAAAGGUGGCCGGCACACUUGGAUACAUGGCACCCGAGUACGCAACUCGAGGGCGAUUGACGACCAAAGCUGAUGUCUUCAGCUAUGGAAUCCUCGUCCUGGAGAUCGCCAGCGGCAGAAAGUGCGUGGAUCCGGCAUUGCCAGCCGAAGAAGAGCUCUUACUUCAACUGUCUUGGAAACUCGUCAUGGCAAACAGGAUGAGCGAAUGCAUUGACAAGAGGCUGGGCGGUGACUACGCGGUGGACGAGGUUUCUAGGCUGCUCCGUGUUGCCAUGCUGUGUACGCAAGAACAUGAGGAAGCUCGACCAACAAUGAGUGACGUUGUGGCCAUGUUGCUGGGAUAUCUCGAGAUUGGCGCUCUUCCCACCCAAGCUCCCUUUCACUUUGGCCUGGUAAUGAGCUCCUCAACGACUACAAGUAGCGAUUACUUGAAUUCCAUGGACAUGCCGCGUGAUGCUGUGGCUGAUCUUGGCAUGUGUCGCUGGCCGCUCGUUAUCUCACCAGACGAUCCAAACCCAGACACAGAGCCAAAUCUGGUAUACUACUUCCCAACAAACACCAGCGCGAACAGCACUUACCAGCGAAAUGUGGUGGCCGUCCUGGAGUUCCUCUACAAGCACAAUCCGCCAGACGGCUAUGCAGCGAGCCUUGGCUAUGGCGGCUAUGCGACGUGCCUUGGCUACAGCAGCUUUCCACACGCUGUCUACGCACACAGUGGCUGCUACAACAUGUCCGACCAGCCGAGCUGUGGACAGUGCAUCCAGGACGCCUACAUGAACAUCCAAAGCGUUCUUUGGUAUGCCACUGGUGGUGUCAUUUGGAUCAACCAGACCUUUCAAAGGUCGCAUGAGAUACGAUCCUUUCAGCUUUGCGAUCGUUCCUGGAAUCCAGAUUGCCCACCAGUGCCCUUGCGUAUCUACACGGCGGUCGCCUUUCGAUCGGAUUCGUGUCGCUGCUUGUGUUCUUGCGUGUUCUUGGUUUUCUUUGUUCGCUCUCUUCUCUCCCUUUUUAUUUGUGGCGAUCUUCUCGAAUCAGACAUCAAAGCCAGCAACAUCCUCUUGACUAGCACUUUGGAGCCCAAAAUCGCUGACUUUGGGAUCUCAAACCUCUUUGACAUCGAGAAAGGUUUCACGAGCACAAACGUGGCUGGCACUUUUAAGUUUUUAAGUUCUGCUUGGAACUUGAGCGAGGCUGGGAGAUUGGACGAGUGCGUCGAUGAGAGAGUCGGGAAUGACUAUGUCGCCAGGAAGUCCACAGAACGCUUCACGUUGCUUUGCUUUGCACCCAAGACUGGAGAGCUUCGACCGGCAAUGGGCGACGUUUUGGCGAUGUUGCUCGGCUACCUCGACCUCGGAAAUCCUGACAAAACUAGAUGUAUGAUCUAUGGCCGGGAGGGAAAUAUAGGAUUAGAGAUGAGCUGCUUGUGGUGGGUUCUUCUUCUCAUUCUUUGUUUUGGCACACGGCCUCUCGCAGCACAGCAGCAGCGACCAGUGGACGUCACGGAUCCAGGUCAACUAGCAAACGUUCUCUACUACAACACCGCCAACACCAGCGAAGGCAGCCCAUUCCAGCGAAAUCUCGACACGGUCUUCGAAUUCCUCCAGGGGUUCAAUCCCUCCAAUGGAUUUGCAACUUCUCUCGGAUAUGGUGCGUUUCCCAACAUCGCCUACGCGCACACGGCUUGCUACAACAUGUCGGACCAGCCCAGCUGCUCAUCUUGCAUCCAGCAGGCGUAUGCCAAUGCCCGAGCUAGAUUUCCAAUUGGUGCCCGUUUCUGGAGGAAUUCCACAGCAGAAAGAUGCAACAUGCGGUUCGAGAAUAGCAAUUUUACGAGAGACUUGCCAUCGGGGACGCUAGGAAUAUUGGGUCCAAAUGCCUCCGCUCCAGCUCCACCUCCAGUGGUUCCCCCUCCAACGGCUCGACCUCCUGCUAGCACUCCAGGCGGUGGCAGUGGCGGAUCAAGCAACACAGCAGCCAUUGUGGCUGGUGUUGUGGUGCCAGUGUUUUUGAUCCUGGGAGUUGCCGGACUUCUGCUCGUCAAGCGCAGAAGGUCCCGACGACGACGACGACGAGGGUUGCCUCGAGUUCCUUCUUCAGAACUGCAAAGGAGUUCGAGAGGACCCAUCGCGUUUUCUUACCGGGAUUUGUGUGAGGCCACCGAAGACUUUAGCGACCGAAACAAACUCGGACAAGGCGGAUUUGGCACCGUGUACAAGGCUUUCUUUGGCGAUGGAACCGUGUUUGCUGUGAAGAGGCUUUCGGUGGGGUCUCAGCAAGGAAAGAUGGAGUUUGUGAAUGAGAUCGAUAUCAUCACCGCCAUUCGUCACAAAAAUCUUGUGAUGCUCGAGGGAUACUGUUGCGAGGGGAAUCAUCGGCUUAUCGUCUACGAGUUUCUCGAGAAAGGGAGCCUCGAUCAAACACUGUUCGGUAAAUGAAUCCAUCUUUCCUUUAAGCUCAUUGUAACUAGGUAGUCAUUGCCAGGAAAGAGUUUACUCUUAGAUUGGCCAGCUCGCUUCCAGAUUAUCGUGGGAGUGGCGAAAGGCCUCGCUUAUCUCCACGAGGAAUCACACGAACAGGUUAUACACCGGGACAUCAAGGCCAGCAACAUCCUCCUUGACAAAAUGCUCCAGCCGAAGAUCUCCGACUUUGGAAUCUCCAAGCUGGCGGGAGUGGAGAAAGAAAACACAACCACGAGAGUGGCCGGGACAGUUGGAUACAUGGCACCCGAGUACGUUCUUCGAGGGCGAUUAUCUUCCAAAGUCGAUGUUUUCAGCUUUGGAGUUCUUGUUCUCGAGAUCAUCAGCGGCAGGAAGUGCAUGGAUGACACACUUCCUGUGGAAGAAGAAAUCCUUGCGCAAUGGGCUUGGAGCCUCUUUGGUGCUGGAAAGCUCGAAGAAUUAAUCGAUCCUAGACUGGAAAAGUUUUACAUCGCAGAAGAGGCUCACCGAGCCACGCACGUCGCAUUGCUGUGUAGCCGAGAAUUUGAAGGGAGCCGGCCAACGAUGAGUGCCGUGGUUGCGAUGCUCAUGGGUUACCUCGAGCUAGAGCCGCUCACCACGGUAGACAGUCCCAACUACUUUGGACAGAUUCGCCACCAUGGUUGGACAACGACGACGACAACGACGACGUCUCAAACCGGCUCUUCUUACGCAGCUUCUCCCUUGACUGCUACGAGCGCACGCUAGUCAAAGUCUGCCACUCAUUUCAAAGUCUGCCACCUUUCUCGAAGCCUGAAACCUGGUGUCUCGCACUUUUGUUAGUGGCGGAAAAAGUGUGGAAGGACUCACGCUAUCGAAGAUUUCGCAGCAAAAUCAAAAGUGGCGAAUCUCGGCAAAGAUUGAUCAUAUGUCCAAGUGAAUUGUGUUUAAAGACUAAGUCAAGAAAGA
Selaginella moellendorffii is the source of this 4778-nucleotide RNA transcript. RefSeq lists it as uncharacterized. The record is from RefSeq and is a predicted model, not a curated record. NCBI's taxonomy places the organism in Eukaryota, Viridiplantae, Streptophyta, Lycopodiopsida, Selaginellales, Selaginellaceae. The transcript is spliced from 18 exons.